UCUUUGAUAUUGUUUUUCAGAUGCAGAGGGACGACCUGUGUGCCAAAUGCCGCUGAUGGACUUGUGGGUGGAGCGCCAUAGGGAGGCGAGUCGGCUGUGGUGUAGGUGGAGAGCAAGCCUCAACAUGGCAGCCUGAGAUGAUGGAUGCUGGGCAGGAGAGCGGUCAAGGUGCUACAUGCAGCCUCAGAGGGGUGGAGCUUCAUGCUGAGAAAUGGUUUGAGCGGUG
This is a long non-coding RNA of Cuculus canorus (common cuckoo), 226 nucleotides long. RefSeq lists it as uncharacterized. The transcript has 3 exons. NCBI's taxonomy places the organism in Eukaryota, Metazoa, Chordata, Aves, Cuculiformes, Cuculidae. The record is from RefSeq and is a predicted model, not a curated record.